AGUGAACGCUGGCGGUAGGCCUAACACAUGCAAGUCGAACGGCAGCACAGUAAGAGCUUGCUCUUACGGGUGGCGAGUGGCGGACGGGUGAGGAAUACAUCGGAAUCUACUUUUUCGUGGGGGAUAACGUGGGGAAACUUACGCUAAUACCGCAUACGACCUACGGGUGAAAGCAGGGGAUCUUCGGACCUUGCGCGAUUGAAUGAGCCGAUGUCGGAUUAGCUAGUUGGCGGGGUAAAGGCCCACCAAGGCGACGAUCCGUAGCUGGUCUGAGAGGAUGAUCAGCCACACUGGAACUGAGACACGGUCCAGACUCCUACGGGAGGCAGCAGUGAGGAAUAUUGGACAAUGGGCGCAAGCCUGAUCCAGCCAUACCGCGUGGGUGAAGAAGGCCUUCGGGUUGUAAAGCCCUUUUGUUGGGAAAGAAAAGCAGCAGGUUAAUACCCCGCUGUUCUGACGGUACCCAAAGAAUAAGCACCGGCUAACUUCGUG
Molecule: ribosomal RNA, 492 nt
Filed under: uncultured bacterium
Lineage: Bacteria
Description: partial 16S ribosomal RNA
Rfam family: Bacterial small subunit ribosomal RNA
Source: RNAcentral